UACGGAGGGGGCUAGCGUUGUUCGGAAUUACUGGGCGUAAAGCGCACGUAGGCGGCUUUGUAAGUUAGAGGUGAAAGCCCGGGGCUCAACCCCGGAAUUGCCUUUAAGACUGCAUCGCUUGAACGUCGGAGAGGUGAGUGGAAUUCCGAGUGUAGAGGUGAAAUUCGUAGAUAUUCGGAAGAACACCAGUGGCGAAGGCGGCUCACCGGACCGGUAUUGACGCUGAGGUGCGAAAGCGUGGGGAGCAAACAGG
Molecule: ribosomal RNA, 253 nt
Filed under: uncultured bacterium
Lineage: Bacteria
Description: partial 16S ribosomal RNA
Rfam family: Bacterial small subunit ribosomal RNA
Source: RNAcentral